This 245-nucleotide ribosomal RNA is filed under the name uncultured Actinomycetales bacterium. RNAcentral's name for it is "partial 16S ribosomal RNA". It matches the Rfam family "Bacterial small subunit ribosomal RNA", at positions 796 to 1041 of the family's 1533-position model. Lineage: Bacteria; Bacillati; Actinomycetota; Actinomycetes; Actinomycetales. The record is from RNAcentral.
CAUGCCGUAAACGUUGGGCACUAGGUGUGGGGCUCAUUCCACGAGUUCCGCGCCGCAGCAAACGCAUUAAGUGCCCCGCCUGGGGAGUACGGCCGCAAGGCUAAAACUCAAAGGAAUUGACGGGGGCCCGCACAAGCGGCGGAGCAUGCGGAUUAAUUCGAUGCAACGCGAAGAACCUUACCAGGGCUUGACAUAUACCGAAAACUCAUAGAGAUAUGGGGUCCUUAGGGGCGGUAUACAGGUGG